AUAUUUUUAAUUUAUUUUUUAGAAGUGAAACUUGGUGGCAAAAUGCAUAUUCUAAACUAAUGCUGAUUGUGUUUUUCUUUUUUGGAGGAUGAGCAUUUCUUCAUAAAACAGGUGCCCUAAGAAAUAGGAUUUUACAGAGCUUGCUUAAUCCAUAUUUUUACUUAUUUUUCUACACAUGUGGGUUUUAGGAAAGUAGCACCUUGGGAAUUGAGGGGGAAAGCUUAGACUGAGAUUUAUUUCAGCAGAAAGAUUUAAGAGAGAAAAUUGGUAACAACUUGUUAGAAGUAUGACAUCCAAAAGACUGCAACAUAAAUUUGUUUAUACAUUAAUUAUUUUUAACAUAUAUAGCAAUAGGAAGAUAUGCUAAUAUAAUAAAUUUGUUUCCUUAAAUCUGAGUUGAAAAUACAACAAGGAUAUUGGUAUGAAGGAGGAGGCAAGGAAGGCUUGCAGCACAGGCAGGCCAGAUGGCCUGGGUUCAGAUCUCUGCUCACUAUGACCCUGGGCAAAUUACUCUCUAUGCCUGUUUCCUCCUCUGUAAAAUGAAAAUAAUAGGGCGCCUGGGUGGCUCAGUUGGUUAAGCGACUGCCUUCGGCUCAGGUCAUGAUCCUGGAGUCCCUGGAUCGAGUCCCGCAUCGGGCUCCUUGCUCAGCAAGGAGCCUGCUUCUCCCUCUGACCCUCCCCCCUCUCAUGUGCUCUCUGUCUCUCUCAUUCUCUCUGUCUCAAAUAAAUAAAUAAAAUCUUUAAAAAAAAAAAAAAGAAAAUAAUAAUACUAUCUUCCUCAUAGAGGGGUUUUGAAGAUUAAAUGAGUUAAUAAAACUUAGUUGCCUGGUAGACUUUUCAAUAAAUUUAAUCUAUUAUUGCUUUAUUAUCGCAUCCUAAAUGCAGUUUUCUGUUUAUUUUAAUCUUCAUUGCACACAAAAUUCUUAGACACAGAUAGUCUGUGAACUCAAGUUCAUAGAUCAUAGGAAAGGCAGAAGAAUGUAUUGUUUAAAUGUGGAAUCUUGUUUGGGACAUACUUUGCUGCUGGGUACUGUAACACACAUAGUUUGAACGCCAGCCAAUCAUUUAGCAUGGAAUUUAUGUUUCAAACCCUCCCUUAUCACUCAGCAGCCUGCUGUCUUACAGAAUCAUUACUAAAAAGGCUAAAAAAUCACCCACAGCAUAGACUGUCCUAUGGUUUCUAUAUUUGCACUUGGAGAUAAAGUGUGUUUAUACAUAGUGCUUGGGUGUCUUUUUUAUAGCCUACAACACUGGGUAAUGUAUGGCAAUGGAGACUUCCUCCUCUAUAGAAAAUAGACUAUUAAAUUCAUCAUUCUUUAUUUCUUCCCUUAGAUGUUUUGUUUUGUUUUACUAACCUAGUAACAGAUAAAAAUGAAAAGACCAAAAAAGGUCAUCUCAUGCUAGCUUUAACCUUAACCAAAUGGAAAUGGAUUCUUGCUAUUCAUCAUCCUUAAUCCUAUUCAUUCUUCUUAAACAUGACAAGUAUAUUCCAAAGCAAACAAAAAAAACCCUGUUAUAUCAUAAAGAUGUGUGUGUAUAUUAUGGGGUACUCACCAUUCUGUAUAUUUAAUUUAACAAAAAUAUUUGAAACACUCUUAUAAACAGGGAAGUUUCUUAGUAGCUUUAGCUCUAACCAACCUUAUGCCGGGUAGUUACAGCUUCAACCUGACCAUUUGCUUUAUUUUUCCCAGUUGAAAGGAUACGUUUCUAAAAGAUGAGGCAAACUGGGUUUUAGAAUUGUCAUUCUCUAAUGAAAACCUUGCUAUAGAAAGAAAGAAGGAAGAAAAGAAAAAAAAAAAAAGAACUUUUCCUGGCUUUACGGAAUACGUUAUCAAGGCUUUAGGACAAAAAUACAGGAACCUCAGGAAAAUAUAUUGGCUUAUGUUCUUCUUUCUCCUUAAAUGGUCAUUCUUGGUCUUUGGCUAAUCAGAGAAGGGAAGAGGCUACAGGCAGAAUUCCCCUUUCCCUGUGGUAAUAGUUGAGGCAGUUUGAUUUCCAAGGCAAGGCAGGAGUUAUGGAAGAACUUAGAAUAAGGAAAGUCAAACAUGAAUUGAACAGCUUUUGCUGGCUGCUAACCAGCUGAUUGCAGAACUUGAGAAACUCCCAGCAGAAAUGAAGUAACAGGACGUUAACCAGCACCCCAGUCCCUGAGAACUUUGCUUAAGCCACAGCAGCGCAAAAGAAGGUGGGAAUGAGAUCCCGAAAUCAGGGCGGUGAAAGUUCAUCCAAUGGGCAUAUCUCCUGCCCCAAGUCCUCUAUCAUUAGCAACGCUGAUGAUAAAAGUCUCUCAGAAGAUGCAAAAAAGAAAAACAAAUCAAACAGAAAGGAGGAUGAUGUCAUGGCCUCAGGAACUGUUAAACGACACCUAAAAUCAUCUGGAGAAAGUGAACGAAAAAAUAAGAAAUCCUUGGAGUUAUCCAAAGAAGACCUUAUACAGCUACUCAGUAUAAUGGAAGGAGAGUUGCAGGCCAGGGAGGAUGUGAUCCACAUGCUGAAGACAGAGAAAACCAAGCCUGAGGUUCUGGAGGCUCAUUAUGGGUCUGCAGAGCCAGAAAAAGUGCUGCGAGUCCUGCACCGAGACGCCAUCCUAGCCCAGGAGAAGUCUAUAGGAGAAGAUGUAUAUGAGAAACCGAUUUCAGAGCUGGACAGACUUGAGGAGAAACAGAAGGAGACGUACCGGCGCAUGCUAGAGCAGUUGCUGCUGGCGGAGAAGUGUCACCGGCGCACGGUGUACGAGUUAGAGAGCGAGAAGCACAAACACACUGACUACAUGAACAAGAGCGACGACUUCACCAACCUGCUGGAGCAGGAGCGGGAGAGGUUGAAAAAGCUCCUUGAACAAGAAAAGGCUUACCAAGCCCGAAAAGAAAAGGAAAAUGCUAAGCGGCUCAAUAAACUAAGAGAUGAGCUUGUGAAACUGAAGUCCUUUGCACUCAUGCUGGUGGAUGAAAGGCAAAUGCAUAUUGAGCAACUUGGCCUCCAGAGCCAGAAAGUACAGGAUCUUACUCAGAAACUGAGGGAAGAAGAAGAAAAGCUCAAAGCCAUCACUUCCAAAUCCAAAGAAGACAGACAGAAACUGCUCAAGUUAGAAGUGGAUUUUGAACACAAGGCUUCGAGGUUUUCCCAAGAGCAUGAAGAGAUGAACGCGAAGUUGGCCAAUCAAGAGUCUCACAACAGGCAACUUAGGCUCAAGCUGGUUGGCUUAACUCAGAGAAUUGAGGAGCUGGAAGAGACCAACAAAAACCUCCAAAAGGCAGAGGAAGAACUUCAGGAAUUAAGAGAUAAAAUUGCCAAAGGGGAAUGUGGCAACUCCAGCCUGAUGGCAGAAGUGGAAAAUCUCCGUAAGCGUGUGCUUGAAAUGGAGGGUAAAGAUGAGGAGAUCACUAAAACUGAAUCCCAGUGCCGGGAAUUGCGGAAGAAGCUGCAAGAGGAGGAACACCACAGCCGCGAGCUCAAACUUGAAGUGGAGAAGUUACAGAAGAGAAUGUCUGAACUGGAGAAACUGGAAGAAGCAUUUAGCAAGAGUAAAUCUGAGUGUGGCCAGCUCCAUUUAAAUCUGGAGAAAGAGAAGAACUUAACCAAAGACCUGUUGAAUGAACUGGAGGUGGUCAAGAGUAGAGUUAAAGAACUGGAAUGUUCUGAAAGUCGAUUGGAAAAGGCUGAAUUAAGUCUAAAAGAUGAUCUUACAAAGUUGAAGUCAUUUACUGUGAUGCUGGUUGAUGAAAGGAAAAAUAUGAUGGAAAAAAUAAAGCAAGAGGAGAGAAAAGUGGAUGGACUCAAUAAAAAUUUUAAGGUGGAACAAGGAAAGGUUAUGGAUGUAACUGAAAAACUAAUUGAAGAAAGCAAGAAGCUUUUAAAACUGAAAUCUGAAAUGGAGGAAAAGGUGUAUAAUUUGACAAAAGAAAGAGAUGAGUUAAUAGGUAAACUGAAAAGUGAAGAAGAAAAAUCCUCUGAAUUAAGCUGCAGUGUUGACUUAUUAAAGAAGAGACUUGAUGGGAUAGAGGAAGUGGAAAGAGAAAUAACAAGAGGAAGGUCUCGGAAGGGUUCUGAACUCACCUGCCCAGAAGAUAACAAGAUUAAGGAACUAACACUGGAAAUUGAGAGACUGAAGAAACGCCUUCAACAGCUGGAGGUGGUUGAGGGGGAUUUGAUGAAGACAGAGGAUGAGUAUGAUCAGCUGGAGCAGAAAUUUAGAACUGAGCAGGACAAGGCCAAUUUCCUCUCCCAACAACUGGAGGAGAUAAAGCACCAAAUUGCCAAGAAUAAGGCAAUUGAGAAAGGCGAGGCCGUGAGUCAGGAAGCAGAGCUGAGACACAGGUUUCGGUUAGAAGAGGCCAAAAGUCGAGACCUAAAAGCUGAAGUCCAAGCUCUUAAAGAGAAGAUCCACGAAUUAAUGAACAAAGAAGAUCAGCUUUCUCAACUCCAAGUGGAUUAUUCUGUCCUUCAACAAAGGUUUAUGGAAGAAGAAAAUAAGAACAAAAACAUGGGGCAGGAGGUCCUCAAUCUGACCAAAGAGUUGGAGCUUUCUAAGCGGUAUAGCCGAGCUCUUAGGCCCAGUGUGAAUGGAAGAAGAAUGGUGGAUAUUCCGGUGACGUCGACUGGAGUGCAGACGGAUGCUGUCAGCAGUGAGGCAGCAGAAGAAGAAACACCAGCAGUAUUUAUACGGAAAUCCUUUCAAGAAGAAAAUCAUAUCAUGAGUAACCUUCGACAGGUGGGAUUGAAGAAACCUAUGGAACGAUCCUCGGUACUAGACAGGUAUCCUCCAGCAGCCAAUGAGCUCACUAUGAGAAAGUCUUGGAUUCCAUGGAUGAGAAAAAGGGAAAAUGGGCCCCCAAUCACUCAUGAGAAAGGGCCUCGAACAGAUGCCAGUCCAGGGCACCCAGGAGAGCUGGUCCUUUCGCCAAAACAAGGCCAGCCCCUGCAUAUUCGAGUGACCCCAGACCAUGAGAAUAGUACUGCAACUUUGGAAAUAACCAGCCCGACGUCUGAGGAAUUUUUUUCUAGUACCACCGUCAUUCCUACCUUAGGGAAUCAGAAACCAAGGAUAACCAUUAUUCCAUCACCAAAUGUUAUGUCUCAAAAGCCAAAAAGCGGAGAUGCUACUCUUGGCACAGAACGAGCCAUGUCCCCAGUCACGAUUACUACAUUUUCUAGAGAGAAGACCCCAGAAGGUGGAAGAGGUAUGUUUGCAGACAGGCCCACAUCCCCCAUUCAGAUAAUGACAGUGUCUACAUCGGCAGCACCAGCUGAGAUGGGAGUCUCUCCGGAAUCCCAGGAAAUGCCCAUGGGAAGGACUGUCUUCAAAGUCACCCCAGAAAAACAGACUGUUCAAACUCCUCUACGGAAAUAUAAUUCCAAUGCCAAUAUCAUAACCACAGAAGACAAUAAAAUUCACAUUCAUUUAGGUUCUCAGUUUAAACGAUCCCCUGGGACUUCAGCUGAAGGAUCGAGUCCAGUUAUUACUGUCCGACCUGUCAAUGUGACAGCUGAAAAGGAAGUUUCCACUGGUACGGUCCUUCGCUCUCCUAGGAACCAUCUCUCGUCAAGACCUGGCGCUAGCAAGGUGACGAGCACUAUCACCAUAACACCGGUCACAACUUCAUCUACUCGAGGAACCCAGUCAGUGAAGAUCACUGGAGGCUCGAGGUCCUGGGACUCAUCAACACAUGGGGUGACAACUGAGGUGAUCAUCAAGUCAGGACAAGACGGGUCAUCCCAGCGACCUACCCCCACCCGCAUUCCUAUGUCAAAAGGUAUGAAAGCAGGAAAGCCAGUAGUGGCAGCCCCAGGAGCAGGAAAUCUGACCAAAUUCGAGCCUCGAGCUGAGACUCAGUCUAUGAAAAUAGAGCUGAAGAAAUCUGCGGCCGGCAGCGCUACCUCUCUCGGAGGGGGGAAGGGCUGAGGGCAGUGGCUGAGGGGGUAUGUCGUGCCAAUGCUCCUGCUGCCAUGAACACCGACCUUCAUCUGUUUGUGCCACCUCCUUACGUGCACUAACCUCCGUUUUAAAGAUCUUGUUUAUAAAGUAAUCCACUAAUAGCCAUGUGUCUUUCCUAUUUUGUAAAUGUGUUUCGAUGCCAGAGAAAAGAACGAACUAGCAGAACUGCUGCUUGCUGGCUGCUCUGUUGAGGAUGCCGGGCCUGGGGCAGGGCUGACUUCUAGUCCCAUUAUUGCUUCUAGAAAGUGGGCCCGGCGGGUAGCCCGCCUGAGCCUCGGUCUCUUGAUGUCAGUAAGAUAUGGGGGCUGGGUCUCAUCCUCUCCAGAGCCAGAUCCCAUAUUUCCUAAUUGUAAAUCAAAUUUAAUAGGCCUUGUUCCACAAGAAUUGAUUUUUCAGAAAUUCUAUUAUGAAAUAGGAAAUAGCUUAACAGUUGUCAUUUGCCUCUAUUAAAUCCCGAAUUUGCUUCAUGUGCUGGAAAAAAACAUCUCCUAGCUAUCACAGGGCCUGGACCCUUAAAGUUUUGCAAAAACAAAAGCCUCUGGGAUGAUUUCAGGAAAUAAUUUGAAUGUGAAAUAAAAUGGAAAUGAAAUAUGGAUUCCUAAAAACAGAGUUUUACUUAUUUGUGUGUGUCUGUGUGUAUUAUAGGGGUUUUGGCCAUCUCCAAAACAUUCCCAGAAUUUUAUGGACAAUAAUUUUUGAACCAUUAAUGUCAAACUCAUGCUCUAUUCAAGUGUGCAAUUGAUUUAAAUUAUGGAGCCGUUUGAAUAGAGCUGCCAAAUGGCCCUUCUACCCAUUACAACCUCAACCAAGGUUGUAAUGGAUAGAAAAUAGAAGAAAGUAAUUGGGAUACAUUAACGCCAAGAAAAAAAAUGACAUCAUGCAUAGCUUAAUUGAAUUCAAAUAUUUUCCUCAGUUGAGUGUGGACUUUACUUGGAAAUAUAGAACUAGUUCAUGAGUGUGUGUGUGUGUGUGUGUGUGUGUGUGUGUGUGGUGUGGUGUGGUGAAGUGAAUUAUUAUUCCUGUCAGUUUUACUUAUCUUUGUAUCAUUUUCAUUCAUUUCAAGCAUGUUUUAAUAAGCAUGAAACUGUGAAUGCAAAAUGCCAGGUGUCUUUGUGAGAUUAACCAUGUUAUUGAAGUGGACAUUGUGCUUCCUGUCAAAUAACCACAAAUGAGCUCAAGGCUAAUAACCCGCAGCUUAGCAUCUGAGAUCUCGUGUAGGCAGCACCUUUGUCAAAACUCUUAAGCCAAUUGAGUGAACUUUAUAAAAAUACAAUAACUACAAAGUUACAGGUUGUUAUUUUUCCACUUCUGAAUUGUGAGAAUUCCAAGAUUAUUUGGAUAGUCCCUGCCUCUGAUAUUUGGGGAAAGAUAGUUGUUCUUUAAAAAAAAAAAGAUAGUUGUUUUUUUUUAAAAAAAAAAUAUGAUUUAGCUUUAAUCAUCAAAUCAUCAAGCUUUGUGAUAAAGAGGCUCUUCUCUGAGUUCUUUCCACACUGGAUUUCCUAGCUCUUGUAGAACUUGGACUUCAAUCGGAUAUGACGGUGGUGGAUGCCUUGCAGAAUUCAUAUUCUUUUUAAUCAGGUCUCUAUUGCCUACAGCUCAUCAGUUCUCAGCAUAUGUAUUAAGAGAUGUUGAAUAACCGUAGGAGACAUGCUAUAAUAGUGGGAUUUCAAGGUAGAAGGAGAGAGACUGAGAAAAAAGAUUUUAUAAAAUGUGAUUUUGAACAAGUGUAAACAAGAGAUCUUUCCAUUUCCAAUAUUGACUUGCCUAUUUUUAAGAGGAAAUUUUCCCCUUUUGUAAAGUACACAUCCAUCCCUUGGACAAACAAAGACAUUCUCUGUUUUUCAAAUGCCUCCUUGGCAUUGAGAGUAUUUAGUGCUACUGUGAUGUAACAUACUGUAUGUGAGCAGUGUCAAAAGAAGGAGACACUGUGCUCCUCCUGACUCUACCUGUCAUUCUCCAGUGACUUUUAUCACAAUCUAUUGUCACCGCUGCUGUCUUUUGCUGUUCCCUGCUCACAACAUGCUUAUGUCGUUUCUGCCGGGAAGUCCAUACCAUCUGCAGGGAGAGUGCUCUGAGGGGCUGAACAGUGCGUGUACAGGAUGUUUAUACAUCUGGAUGCUGGAAGAGAGCCACCUACGAAGUACAACUGCUAAGAGAACUUGGCAGAGCAACACAUAUUCACUUUUCAGAAAUGGUAAAGAGCAGCCAUGGCAGUUUUUCUUUGUAAUUUUAGAACCAACUCUACAUUUAUUGGAUAGCUUUGGUUUAAACCACAUAUUGGAAAUGAAAUCCACUGGGGAUAGGAAGUGGAGGAUUAAAUGCACUCCAAUUCCAGCUUCUAAUUGUGAGGAUGAUGUUUUCGUGAUGCAGCUUAAUGUGCUUUUAUAAGAGUGAAUGGGAUUAAAAGCUAGAGUCUUUUCCCUGUCCUGGAACAUAGCAUCGUGCAGUAAAAGGGCUCACCAAGGCUGCUGUGUAUAGCUGUUGCUCAGGUCCCACCCAAGGCAGGGGAGGGAGGGCCAUUUCCAUAGAUUUCAAUGGGGUGGCUCCCCCUGGGGGUGUGCAGGGCAUAAUCUGUAGGCUACAGAAGCCCUGGGCUUCCCCUCCAGAGAGGAAUUUUCAUGGGUUGACUAUUUCAGCACAGUAUGGUGGUGGCCAUUUAGCAUGUGUGGUACGAGAAGUGUUCCUGUAUGGGACAUGACCCUAAGGGUGUUUAUCCUUUCUUGAAAAUAACCUUCCUGUCUAGGUCACUUGCUUAAACAGAGUCCUUCGGUUUCUACUGGCAUUUUUAUUAUGUUUUCAAUGAGGGCAAGCGAAUGGGUGGCAACUAGACUCUAGAGAUGUUCGUGUAUUCAUUAAGGGUAGGUCUUACUAGAUGUCUCACUUGAACGUCUUCAAGAAAGAAGGGAAGGGAUGCCUUUGAUGUGUAGUGUGGGAAGAGUGUAGCUUCAGGGAAAUGAAAACAUGUCCAAGAAUAUAGGAUGUACAAAGAUUUGAAUUUCUCAUUCCCUCAGAGAUUUGGAACACUGAGGAAAGCAUGAGACUUUCCUGAUCAGAAAAGCCCCAGGGACAUUAGAUAAGAAGAAGGCACUUAGGUGGGAGGCUGGAGGGCAGAGAGAAAGGAAGAGGUAACAGGUUGGGCACAGAGGGGCUUCCCAGUAAACAGGAACAUACAAUUCCAAAAUUUCCCCAACCUGGAUGAAGUUCAGUGUUGCCCUCCUACCUCCUCCUCCAUCCUCCAGGGUCUCAUGAUUGCUUAUGUUCUCAUCCUCGGCUAUUUCAGUUUCUCCUUUUUAUCUGACUAGUUGCACACAGGAUAUAAAUGUGCUCCGGACUCUUCCAUUUGAGCACAAUUCCUCCCUCAGCUGCUCAGUCCUCUCUAGGGGCUGCCGGUUAAGCCACGGACAGAACACUUGACCUUUUCUGCCUCCACUUCUACAUUUCCAUUUAUUCUUCAACUUGCUCUUUAAAUUUUUAUUAAAUACGGAGUUAAACUAUCAGCCAGCACUAAAAGAAAAUGAAAACAGCUGUUCCUGAUCUCACCCCUCUUUUCCCUCAGUCUGACUCCCAGGAGAAAAUCAUUCCUAACCCUUAACUGUUUCUUCUGAUAUUUGUCUACAUAUUUCUAAAUAAUAUACUUGUACUCUUUAUUUAUCAAUCAUUAUUUUUUUCAAAAAAGAUUUUAUUUGUUUAUCUGAGAGAGAGAGAGAAAGAGAGAGCACGAAGUGGGGGGAGGGGAGGAGGGAGAGGGAGAAGCAGACUCCCUGCUGAGCAGGACCCUGAGAUCAUGACCUGAGCAGAAGGCAGACGCUUAACACCGAGGUACCCCUUUCCUUUAUGUUUUGAUGGUUGAGGAUGUAGCACUCUCGCAUGUCCCCUCUUUCCCUUUUCCCCAUCCUCCCAAUAUGAUUACAACACAAAUUUUUUGAUAAAUCAUCAGUCAGCAUUUAUAUAUUUAUAAGUUUACAGUGUAAAUUUAAAUGUUGUUCCCUGUUGGGGUGCCUGGCUGGCUCAGUUGGUGGAGCUCACGACUCUUGAUCUUGGGGUUGUGGGUUCAAGAUCACGUUGUGGGUAGAGAUUACUUAAAAAUAAAAUCUUAAAAAAAAUAAAAAAAUAUUGUUCCUGCUGAGCCAAAUAGUAUACCAUGUUUGUGUUCCCUUCCUCUUACUCCUUUCACCCUUCAAUAGAAUAAGUAUUGUAAUUUUUCAUCUGCUUGGUUUUCUAUGUAUCUAUCUUUAUUUUUUCCAAAUGCUCCAAUAGAUCUGCCAAACACCUAUCAGUAAUUUUUCCAAACACUUAAAUACGUCAGUUUCUUAUUUUUACCUGGAGGCUUUCCUAGUUCAGCUCCUUAGUUUCCUAUGUUAGCCCUCUGCUUCCCUACUUAGUCUGGACUGGUCAUGCUCUAGGCCAGGUAAGGCUCUUGUCCUAUUGUUCUUUUGCCUAAGUUGAAUCCUCUGUUCCCUGGAUUUCUUCUUCUACUUCUUUUGCUUACACACCUGUCUGUAUAUCUAUCUCUCUUGAAGUACAUUUGACCCCUGAAUAACAUGGGAGUUGAUGGUGCUAACCCCCAGCACAGUGUAAAUUUUGACUCCCCCAAAACUUAACUACCAAGAGCCUACAGUUGACUGGAAGGCUUACCAAUUGCAUACACAGUCAAUUAACACAUACAUCAUAUGUUACAUGUAUUAUAUAUUGUAUUCUUACAGUAAAGUAGAGACAAUAAAAUAUUAAGAAAAUCACAAGGAAGAUAAAGCACAUUUAUAGUAUAUUUGUAUACUGUAUUUAUUGAAAACAAUACUGUAUUUAUUGAAUUACUGUAUUUAUUGUAAACAAUCCACAUAUAAAUGGACCUGCACAGUUCAAACUUAUGUUGAUCAAGGGUCAACUAUAUAUCUUUUAGGAGUUUCUAAAGAAAAAAAUCCUUCAGUAACUUCCUUGGGGUGGGCUACCUGUAUUCUGGGGAUAGAUCAAGGGAAGUGAGAUGGAGAAUCUUACAGUAAAGUGUGCAAACAUUUUUAUUCCCCUGCACUCAGUCUAUGCUGACCAUUCAUAUACUUGGGUCUAGUAGAACUGCUUAGGUCAGUUUUUUUGUUUGUUUGUUUUUCCUGGAAAAAUAAACCCUGGGUCUCUGGUAAGGGUGACUAAGACAUCUAAUCUCUUUUGGUUUUCCUUUGAUCUCUCUGACCGCUCCACCUUGGUCUCCCUUGCUGACACCUUAUUUUAUGCAUACAAUCUAAGGGUCACUGUUCCCCUCAUCUCUGCCAGUUACCUACACUACACGCUCAUUUUAUGCACUCCCAUAGCUUCAAUUAUCACCCAUAUGUUGAUGGCUACCAAUCCUCUAUCUCCAACUUUGUACUGUAUAUCUCCAACUUAACUUGUCUAAAAGCAGUUCUCAACACCUCCUCCAACCCUCGUCAAGUCUUCUCCUCCUCUUACUAUUCUGCAUCUCAGCAAGGGUAUCCUGAUCUACCCAAUCACCCAAGCAAGAAGCCUGGUAGCCAUUUUAGGCCUCUCCUCCUCCUUCACCUGUCAAGUCCACUCAUCAAGCAAGUCUCAUAGUCUAACCCCCUAAUGCCUCUAUCAGCUGAACCCACAUCUCCAUUUUCCUUGCUACUGCCUGAGUUGAGGUUUUAAUUACUUCUCAUCUGGAUUACUCCAAUAUGCCCCCUAAUUGGUCUCAUAAUCUCUAGCCUCAAAACUCUCAGAUUCAUUCUUCAUUUUGUUUUCCAAAGUUCAAAUUGAUUGUAUCACUCCCCUAUUUGAAAACCCUCCAAAGGUUCCUCAUUACCUAUAGAACAUAGCACCAACUCCUCCAUAUGGCCCUUGAGGCUCUCUGUGACUGGGCUCUCUCUCUCUCCCUGCUCUAUGAGCAUCCCUCCCCUUUCCUUUUCCGUGCCUGGACUCCUGCCCCCCAAGCAGACCGAAUGGCUUGCAUACCAGGCCAGGUCACCUUUCCUUGACUUGUUCACUUUGUCCCUUCUCCCUACUUUUCCUUCUGGUGGUUGUGUCUAUCUCUGUUCAAAAUUUCUUUCAAAAACCUUGUCUCUACUAGAGAGAAAAGCCAUUAUUUCACAAUCUAACCUGGGGUUUAAAGCCUGUCUGUUUCUGUAAAAAACUUGGCACUUACUGUAGAGAAAGAAAACCAGAACUUGAAGGAUGGCUGGAGGCUAGAGAAGAAAGAGUUAUUCUCAUUUCUCGCUUCCUCCCUUUGUCUGCAAUGCAAACCUGUGAGAAUGAUGUGGAGGGUCCUGACAAAUCAUGCGUGGGAACAUGGAAAUAAAAAGAUGGUAAAAUUAGAGGAAAUUCACGUAUCACCAUUCUGGAUAGUGUAAGUUACAUCUUUCCCUUCCAAGGCACUAUAGGCCCAUAAUGGGUGCAGAACAGCCAGGGAUCCUGGACUGAGGAGUUGUCAUCUCUGAAGCCAUCACAUAUGUGGAGAACUAAGGGGGUUGAGAGCUUUCUGUGACAUACAAACAUACUUGAAUGAAUUAUGAAUUGCUCUUUCCUCACCCUCUUUAACUCCCCUGGAGGGACAUGAAAGACACUUCUGGAAAGAGAAAAUUUCAAGUGAUUUAUCAUGCUCUUCAGGUUCAUGAAGGACCUUCUACAAUAGGUCAGGGGGCACCUGGGUGGCUCAGUCGGUUAAACGUCUGACUCCUGGUUUUGGCUCAAGUCAUGAUCUCAGGGUCGUGGGAUCAAGCCCUGCAUCAGGCUCCAUGCUCAGUGAGGAGUCUGCUUGAGAUUCUCUGUCUCUGCACCUUCCCCCCACCCUGCUCACAUGCUCUCUCUCUCUCUCAAAUAAAUAAAAUCUUUUAAAAAAAAUAGGUCAGGAGAGGCUCUUGUUUUGAAAAACCAAACACCACCACCAAUAAGCAGACUUCAGAUUUAGGAUAGAUAUUAAGGUGAACAUCCAGAGAAAGUGGAUUGCUGAACAAUGCCUAGAUACCUGAGCUAGAACUGAAAACCAGGAGACCAGAGUAAGGUUGUGUGACCUUUGGCAAAUCGCCUUACUUUGACUUAUGGUUUAGCAUUUAGCUAUAACCUUUUAUGAUUCUGGCAUUCCUCCUUAUAGUCAUAAUAUGAUAGGCUUCACUAUUUAGUAAGCAACUUAAAACAUUCUACCAUAACACUUUUCCUAAGAACUAGUAAAUAAUUGCUUAUCUGGCAAAUAUAGUUUUGGCCUCUCUACGUGUGCUAAUGUUAUGUAUGUAUGAUGGUCAGAAUUGCAAAAUCAAGGGCUGGUAACAGCUGAACCAGACUUUAGAGGUCAAGAAGAUAAUUAUCUCUCUUAUUAAAGAUGAAAACAAAACCAAGACCAAGAACAAAACAAGAAAGCCCCAAGGCUUAGAGAUGUCUAACCAUCUUACUAAUGAUGAUGCCAGAUUUUCUGUACAUUACUCAUUAUUUCAUAUGAUGAAACAACUUCAGAAAGCAUCGUCAUUCACCAGUUACGUAUGAACUCCAGAUGAAAUGGUAAACCAAGCACAUACUGGGUGUGUGUACUUCCUCUGAAUCCCUGUUAAAUGAGUAGUAUUUCUACAGCCCUCCAUCAUCACUAAGGUCCUCCAUGCUACUGAUCACUACUGGAAAUAAUUUUCUACUUCCAGUGAUUUUUUUUUUUUGAGGAUAUAAUAAUGUAAAAGCUGAAAAUGGCAUUGCUGAUAAUAUGAAAAUAGGUAGCAAGAGCAAUUCAAUCUUUGUGUCAAAAUAAAUUUCUCUUCCUUUUACAAAGCUUUUAGGUUCAUGGGCACAUGCUAUGUAAUUUAUUUUUAUAAUACACUUUAUAAUGUGAUUUUUUUCCUAACGUGUUUCCUUUUUCAUAGUCUAUGGCACAUAUAUCUAUAGAGUACACUGUCAGUUCUUCAAAGUAUUGGUACUGGUGCAUUCAAAACGGGAACCUAUCAUUAUUUUCCUUCAUCACUUUUUUAUUUCUGAGGGAAAAGAAAGUACAACACUCUGCAUAUUUCCCGGGGUAAAUUCAGGAGAUAAAACAGAAGCAGGAGAUUCUAGAAGAGGUUUUAUUAUUGUUUGUACAAUGCUGUGAUUCUGAUCAUGGUUCAACAGUAAUAAAUAAUGUUGAUGUAAGAGUUUAAUUUUAAAUACGUAAAGCCAGUUUUUAAAGUUGCCCUAUCUAGUGUUCUGUGCCAAAACCCCUGGAUAAAUUGAAUUUCAUAUGGAACAAAUUAAUAAAAGGAGAUAUGUAAGUUUAACCAGUAAGGGUUAUGGGAAUAGCUUCGACUGAGAGUUCAAUUAUAUUUCUGUGUGCAUUGUUUGCUUAUAUGUACAAGACUUAUAAUAAGGACUGUGUAUCAAGAUAUUUCUCACAAUCUGCCCAAAUGAAAGCCCAAAAAAUAAAAAACUGACCUAGGUAAUAUCUGCAUCUUUCAAAAAAAAAAUGGUAAGAGAAAUCCCAUGAUAGAUAACAUUUUUUUUCUUAAUAGACAGGAUUUGGAUAGAUUUUCAUAACAGCAUGUAGGUUGCAGAAUAUAUUCUUUAAAGAUAAAAGCACAACAUGCAAUACUCAACUCUCAGCAUCAGAGCUGCUGUUGAAUUUAGGUUUAUAUGAAAAUGUGCAUCUAAAGUCUACUUGAAACCCUAAUAACACAGGUUUUUAAAAAGACUUUGCUAAUGUGGACAUGUUUUCAAUAAGGUCUUUAAAAAGAUAACUUUAAAGAUAAAUGAAGAGUUGACAUAUCAGUUUCUGAAUGCAGAAAUCAUAUAUGAUGGAACUUUACCAAGAUUAAAGAAAAUGCUUCUGAGUGUCACAUGGAUAACUGAAAACCAAGCAAGUAACACUGUUGGCCCAUUUCUCCAGCUGACAGUUUGUAUUCAGGUUACAAACCCAUAGAGACAAGUCUACAUUGAGUCUCUGGAAUAGAAAAAUUAAUUGAAUGUCCUCUCCUAUGUAACUUUGGAAGGUUUUAAGUUAUACUUUGUGGAAUUAGCAAUCAUAUUUGGCAGAUUAUAAAUUAACUAUAUUUUAUGGAAAAUUAGUUUGAUUUUGUAAGUAAAAGAAAUGCUACAGUAGGCUUGUCCUAGCUUGAAUGAUUGUCGAUGUAUCACAUAUCUUUCAGGGGUUUUGAUUAAUGAUUAAGAAAACUAGAGUGUGUAUGUGUGAAAAUUUAAAAAAUUGUUGCUAUGAGUUUUGUUUUCUGAAAAUGUUUCUGAACUGUAAUGACAUUUUCAAGUAGAAAAGGGUUUUUAUCUUGUAUUGUUAUCUUUUUUGACACACAGUUAAGUUCCCUGUUUGCCUAUGUUUAUACUUCUGAUGGCAAAAUAUUCUGAUAAAUCACAAAUUAGCAUUUGAAGAAAAUAGCUUUUUCUCAACUUCUGGGAAUUUUAGUACAUGAAUAGUGAAAAGGCUAGAGGAUAAGACUUUACUUCUUGACUUUAAGAUAUUACAAGUGAUUUAUGUCUAUUUGGAUCUGAAGCUUUUAUUUCUCUUGAAUUUGUAAUGAAAUUUGGUACUUGCAAUGCAGAGUAAGGAUGGUGGUGCUAUCUGAGUCACUUAGAUGGAUGCUGAGCUUUUUUCUGCUCAUGCUGGGAUUAAGUCCUCUGUUUAAACCCAAAUGGAAUCUGAGUGACAAAUGAGUAAAAUUAAUAAAGAAUAAAAAGUUAAUUGUUCUGAAAUAAAAGAUUAAAAAUUAACAGAAAAGUGAAAACACCAAAUAGUUAUAUCCUUACCUAAUGAAUAAACAAACAAGAUCAUAAAUAGUCCUAUCCCAAUAUCCACAUCCAAUUGAAAAAACUGCCUCCAUGUGCAAUCCUGGCACCAUCCUAGACUCACAUAAUUUCUGUAUCUUUUAUUAUAAGUAAAUCUCCAAUCACCAGUAUGAAAGGGAAUCAGUUUUGAAUGGAAUAAUUAUAUUUUCUGAAAUGAUUCCAGUUUAAGGUACAACAGCUGAACUAAUCCAUUAUUUUGCCCCUUUCUUUCUGAUAAGAGAGUAUUUUUUGAGGUAUCUUCUGCAGAUUUUUUUCAAGUAUUUCAUAAAAUUUUAGGGCUUGAUGAAGAUAGUGGAUACAUUUUCCAGAUGUUAGAUGCCUAGAAUGUUCACAAAGUGUGAAGAAUUAAUUGUCUCUUAGGACAGCCACACACACAAAAAAUUCAUGAUGUAGAAUUACUAGCUUAAGCAUUAAAAAAGAUACCGGCGCUAUUGAAAUAAUUCACAGGUUCUAAAAAUCAGUGGCAGAGCAAGAAUAAAUGUUGGAUCACACAAUGCAAUAUGUGUAUAUCCUUUCUCUUUAUGCUGUGGUUGAAUUUUCCUGGAAAUGAAUAAAAAACAUAGCAAGAGUUGGGCGUGUUCAUGAAUUUGAUGAGCAAUAGUUCUAAAAAUAACAAAAAUGCAAAAUGGGAGUUAAAAACAGCAACAACAACACAAACUGGCACUUGAGGCAUAUAUCCACCUUUGGACUCCAGCGCUA
Molecule: RNA transcript, 16357 nt
Organism: Mirounga angustirostris (Northern elephant seal)
Lineage: Eukaryota; Metazoa; Chordata; Mammalia; Carnivora; Phocidae
Gene: FILIP1
Gene name: filamin A interacting protein 1
Exons: 8
Source: RefSeq, a predicted model, not a curated record